Molecule: transfer RNA, 73 nt
Filed under: Ovis aries (sheep)
Lineage: Eukaryota; Metazoa; Chordata; Mammalia; Artiodactyla; Bovidae
Rfam family: tRNA
About the family: Transfer RNA (tRNA) molecules are approximately 80 nucleotides in length. Their secondary structure includes four short double-helical elements and three loops (D, anti-codon, and T loops).
Source: Rfam by way of RNAcentral
UUCUUGGUGGUCCAGUGGUUAAGACUCUGCACUUCUAAUGCAGGGGGCAUGGGUUCAAUCCCUGGUCAAGGAA